AAUAAAAUGCCUGAUAAAAGGGCUACUUUGAUAGAGUAGAUCAUGCGAGUCAAUCUCGUUUUUGUUA
This 67-nucleotide transfer RNA is filed under the name Chthamalus challengeri. RNAcentral describes it as "tRNA-Ile". Lineage: Eukaryota; Metazoa; Arthropoda; Thecostraca; Balanomorpha; Chthamalidae. The record is from RNAcentral.